This 301-nucleotide ribosomal RNA is filed under the name uncultured bacterium. RNAcentral describes it as "partial 16S ribosomal RNA". It matches the Rfam family "Bacterial small subunit ribosomal RNA", at positions 509 to 807 of the family's 1533-position model. The record is from RNAcentral.
CAGCCGCCGCGGGAAUACGUAGGGUGCAAGCGUUAAUCGGAAUUACUGGGCGUAAAGCGUGCGCAGGCGGUUCUAUAAGACAGAUGUGAAAUCCCCGGGCUCAACCUGGGAACUGCAUUUGUGACUGUAGAGCUGGAGUGCGGCAGAGGGGGAUGGAAUUCCGUGUGUAGCAGUGAAAUGCGUAGAUAUGCGGAGGAACACCGUUGGCGAAGGCAAUCCCCUGGGCCUGCACUGACGCUCAUGCACGAAAGCGUGGGGAGCAAACAGGAUUAGAUACCCCGGUAGUCCCUGUCUCUUAUAC